UCCGACACCUGCGGGGCUUUUCCUCCAACGGCUGUCCUGAGCCCGCCUCCACCGCUCAGGCUUGGUCUGCUGGUCCUCCCGGGCCCCUCAGCCUCUGCGCCCUCCUCCUCCAGACCCAACCCCCGCGGCUGCCCUCAAGCAUCGUCCCGCACUUUGGCGGGGCAUGGGGACCAGGAUGCAAAGCCCUUUCCUCCUCGCUCUGAGUCCUUAGCCCAAGCGCCGCGCUGAGUGUUGAGAAAGACUCUGAGCCUCAGUUUCCUCAGCUGUACAAUGGGGGUAUUUCCCUGAGUGUUGACUAGGUAUGAGGGGAUUGAGAAGUACGGAAAUACGAGAUCGGCUGGGCAUGUGAUCCUGAGGAAGGCCAAGGUCCAGCCAGGCGCCCCUGUUUACUGUAUUGUAAGAAUUCAGUACAUAAUACAUACAGAGACACGUGGAAUACAGAGCAGAACGGAACACAAAAUGAGUCGACUGUGCCAUUGACUCUGCAAAAACCCCUCCCUGUCCACCGGCCUCCCCUCUGCUCAUGCGGCAGCGGAUGCCUGAGAUCAUCUCUUCUCCACUGAGCUUGGCUUCGAGGCCACGGUCACGGGGAAGCCUUCUGGUCAGUUUUGGCCAAUGCGUUUGUGUUCCUACCUGCUUCAUCAACUCCCCCCCUCCCCAGGGACCAGACAGCAAGGUCUGCUGCUUGCUGUGGGUGCUGAUUACCUGGCCAACGUACAAAACAAGCUGAAAUUUUGUGAGUUAUGCACUUUUGUGUAUAUAAAUAUUCAGAAUAUACAACCCAAUUAGAAAUAAAAGAUUUAAGGGGCU
Long non-coding RNA from Suricata suricatta (meerkat), 810 nucleotides. RefSeq lists it as uncharacterized. The transcript is spliced from 3 exons. NCBI's taxonomy places the organism in Eukaryota, Metazoa, Chordata, Mammalia, Carnivora, Herpestidae. The record is from RefSeq and is a predicted model, not a curated record.